AACCAGACUCCUACGGGAGGCAGCAGUGGGGAAUAUUGCACAAUGGGGGAAACCCUGAUGCAGCGACGCCGCGUGAGUGAAGAAGUAUUUCGGUAUGUAAAGCUCUAUCAGCAGGGAAGAAAAUGACGGUACCUGACUAAGAAGCCCCGGCUAACUACGUGCCAGCAGCCGCGGUAAUACGUAGGGGGCAAGCGUUAUCCGGAUUUACUGGGUGUAAAGGGAGCGUAGACGGUGAUGCAAGUCAGAAGUGAAAGCCCGGGGCUCAACUCCGGGACUGCUUUUGAAACUGAGUAGCUAGAGUGCAGGAGAGGUAAGCGGAAUUCCUAGUGUAGCGGUGAAAUGCGUAGAUAUUAGGAGGAACACCAGUGGCGAAGGCGGCUUACUGGACUGUAACUGACGUUGAGGCUCGAAAGCGUGGGGAGCAAACAGGAUUAGAUACCCGGGUAGC
This 448-nucleotide ribosomal RNA is filed under the name uncultured bacterium. RNAcentral describes it as "bacterial SSU rRNA". It matches the Rfam family "Bacterial small subunit ribosomal RNA", at positions 329 to 794 of the family's 1533-position model. The record is from RNAcentral.